AUUUGAACAACGGACAACUUCCGGUAGUACGCAAACGGAGCGUGAAUGAACAGCAGAAUGCACAUUUUACAGCGAAAUUAAUAAGGGUCGCAGGAGGGAGGGCCAACUCAUGGAUGUACACGCCCUGGCGGACUUGAUGAUGUUUUAAACUGUCCUUAAUAUCUGACAGUGUCCCCGUUUGUUCCUGAUUCGAUUUUUGAAAUAUUUUGUCUGCUGAAGAACAGUGUAUCACUGCGCAUGAAACCUGCUACAACAACAAGUUUUUCAAGCCGAGUAUUCCAAGAGUGGCAGUGAGGCACACUGAAGACAGGCUGUCCCUUCAGUUUGCCUGCAGAGCAGCAUGGUCCUCUACUCUGUAAUCUAUUCACCUCCACAUCACGGAGAAGAGCAAGACUUAAGAUUUGACAAGAGGUUGUAAGAAAAUGUGGCCUCCAGCCAAGUCCUCUGGAUUCCAAAGUGGAGGAGGAGAUUAAGGUGUGGUUCCGGAACUCCAGAGGCAGAGCAGGUGGAUGGAAGGAGCGCUACCAACGUCUUCUACAAUCCAGAGAAACCUCAGGUUUCCCCCAUUACCACGUCCCCCCAAAUUGCCUUGUCCCCCGCCCACAGAUGAACACAGGGAAUUAAUUGAUUUGGUCGGUCGCAAAAUGUGUGAGCGCGCGCGCGCACACACACACACACACACACACACACACUAAUUAGGGAUUGAGUUGGGCAAUAUUUAAAAAUUAUCGGUAAACCCUAGUAGGGAUGCUUUCACUAUCAUUUUUAUCAUUUUUCCAGCAUAGUUUCUCUCCUGUGUCACUGUUUUGGCAUUCAGGUAUUUGUUGUA
Long non-coding RNA from Epinephelus fuscoguttatus (brown-marbled grouper), 829 nucleotides. RefSeq lists it as uncharacterized. Lineage: Eukaryota; Metazoa; Chordata; Actinopteri; Perciformes; Serranidae. The record is from RefSeq and is a predicted model, not a curated record. The transcript has 5 exons.